CUAAGCCUGCUGUUAGGAUUGGCUACACACCGUUCUCCUUUGGAGGAUGGCUUGUUGAGGACUCCACUGGUGGGCCAGCUACUUUGGGCAUGUUUCAGAUGUAAUUACUGCAAAAGUGAGCCUGAAAAUUGCAUCAGGAUAGCCAGAGAUGAGCAUUUCUGUGAAUAAAACAGGAAGACCUAUUGCACAUUUUUGUAACUGGCCUGCAUAUGAAGGAGGAUUUCCACCAAAGGUAUUGCCAAUAUUAGGUUUUGGUUUGCCAGUACGGGGUUUUUUGUUGGUAGUGGUGGAUUCUACAUAUCUCCACAAUAAAACAUUGAGUAUUGCAUGCAAAUUGGGCUCUCUAACAAGGCAAGUUAAACUGUAACUUUUAUGGCAUGAGCCUGAGAUUAGCUAUAAAGAUUAGGAAGCUACUUAGCGUUUUUCUUGCUUGUUGAAACAUUGUUGGAAAUUGUUUAAGCUAGUGAAAUACGGGGUUUUGCAUAGAAGUUAGCGUAGAGAUCCAUCAAUCAUAACCUUUACAUAAAAAAAUGACUAUACAAUAGAGAAUAUCUUGAUUUUGUUUCAAUGUCUCAGUCCUAAUUUGAGGCAAAAGUUAAAAGUCAAUAAAGAUUCACUCUGUGAUGCCUAGACAUCACUUGGAGAUUGUUUUACCAAAUCCAAGAUGAAUUCUACCUUCCAUAGCAGCCGAGUCAGGAUCUAGCAGACCAGCAGAGGGCAUAAGCCCCAUUCUGGUGCAUCCUAGGGGUGCUGGCCGAUUUGUCGGAGCUGAAUCUUGGCGGGUAGCUACAAACUUAUGUCUGACCUGAAUCCACAAAAAGUAGGAAGUGAAUUCUUUUAGGUUGAAAGGUUCAACAUUAGAAAGGACUUCUUGAAUUUUUUUUUCUUCUUCUUUUAAUGUCAAGCUGUUUCAAUAUUUUAGCACACAGAAAACAAAUGUAUUAUUGUUGGAGAGAGUCCAGAGGAGGCCACAGAGAUGCUCCAAAGGCUAGAGCACCUCUGCUCUGGAGGCAGACUGAGAGAGCUGGGCUUGUUCAGCCUGGGGGAGAGAAGGCUCUAGCGUGACCUUAGAGCAACUUCCAGUGCCUAAAGGGGCUACAAGAAAUCUGGAGAGAGACUUUUUACAAGGGCAUAUAGGGAUAGCACAGGGGGUAAUGGCUUUAAACUGACAGAGUGGAGAGAAAGAUGAGAUCUUAGGCAGAAGUUCUUCCCUGUGAGGGUCCUGAGGCACUGGCACAGGUUGCCCAGAGAAACUGUGGCUGCCCCAUCCCUGGCAGUGUUCAAGCCCAGGUUGGACGAGGCUUGGACAAUCCUGGUCUAGUGGAAGGUGUCCCCCUGCCUGUGGCAGGGGAGUGGAACUGGAUGAACUUUAAGGUCCCUUCCAACCCAAACCAGUCUGGGAUUCUAUGAUUUUGUGUGGCUGGUUGAAAUUUGUUACUACCAGCCACUAUCAGGAGCAUUAGCUUCAAGCCUCUGAAUAGCCUCAAAGGAUAAUCAUAAGUAAAAUAUAUGGCAGUGUGCCAAAGUUAUGGAUGAUUGGUGUAAUAAGGAUGUGAACAGAAAAGAUAACCAUUUUUUAAAAUGGGUGACCUGUUAGAGAUCUGUUAGCCAAAAAUAAAGUGCCACUCUCUGCUUUCAACAUUCUCUUAAGAGCAGUAAGGGUUAGAAUGGGCAGUAGGUUUCCCUAGCUAGCUUUUUCCUAAGUUAUCUAAGUUACCUCCCAGUAUGCUUGGAAACAAAUCAAAAUGCAUCACCUUGCUUUGGCAGUGGAAAGAAAAAAGACGUGCUUGUCAGGCUGUCAGUGGUUUAGUCUGUCUCCUGAUAUUGUCACAUUUCAAUAGGAGGAGUGGCAAAACUGGAACCACAUGGAGCCAUACCUGCAAGUGCCUCUAGAGUGACUACUCAAACCCACUCUUCAAACACACUGUCCCAAAAAUGCAGCAGUUAAAUUUUUAAUCAUUACAAUCAAGGUACUUAGCUAAGAUACCCUUCUGAAGUGUUAGCUGCCCAAAUUAUGUAAAAAUCUGCAAAUUUUGUUGCUGGGCUAGAAAAUUUAAGAUUCAUUUGCACAGCCAUGCAGAAAGCUUUGAAAAUGUGAUUUAAAAAUUAAAUAGAAGAUGUAGGGCAUUUUUUAUUAAUUCAGAUGAGAAACACUAAAGAGUAAAUAAAUUUGAAUGGCUGAUACAAAUAAAAGUUCUGCGCUGUAAACUUAACUUCCAUUUUUGAGUUUACUGAGCCUUGACACUGCAUACCCUUAAGAUCUAUAAAUCUUUUAAGGUGUUUUACCAUUUUCUUAAGGGAGUCACAUUCGCAAAAUUUCUUAUGAUCAGACAAAUGUAUCUGUCUGGACACAAAGGCUGUUAUUUCAUUACGAACCAUAAUAUACAUGGCUUCAAUUCUUAAUUUAAUGGUAUCUGAUCUAUUCCAGGUGAUGGUAGGUAAUUUUGGCCAGGGUAAUGAGCAGUGUCAGUUCUGUGGGCAGUUCUCACAGCACCUCACUUCAUAUCCAAUGAGCUAAGCAAGGACACUUCCUUAGAGUACAGAACAUAUCCUGAAAAAUGAGAUAUUGAUUUAUACAUAUCAAGAUGCUUCAGAGCUUCAAGGAAAGCACAUCAUGAAAGUACUCAUUUGUCAACUUUCUUCUUUGAGAGAAGGUUUUAAUUCUUAACACUGUUAGUCUUUACAGUUUCCCUAAAGAGUAUCAGAUUUUCUUGUACCCUUUAGAAAUACUCUUUUCCUAUGCCCAUUUAAUUUAUUGGAUUAUUUUAUUCUGUUUGAUUUUCUCUAUCUGUUGUCUUAUUUGUGCAUUAUAAACACACGUUGGAGAUCAAGGUGAAGAAAAUUACACCUAUUAUCUGACCUAUUUGCUAACAUAAUCUUUACAUCACUGUUGGAACUAGCUAACCCAUUAUCAUAAACUUCAGCUGUUUACAUCAGGUCUUAAUUUUGUCAUUUUCUUUUCUGUAACUAUGGCUGCACUGAUGAAUUUAACAAUAUAAGAUGUGUCUGAUACUGCCUUGGAAGACAGAGAAUGUCACUGCAUCCACUGUUAGCAUGAAUCUCUGGAAGUGUUUUACUCGAUAUACAAUGUUUGUUGUAGCUGUACUUUACAGCAGUACGUUUUUGUUAGAUACAAUAUCUUGAGUUUUCAACUCAGUAGUCCUGUCUUUAUUUGCUUUUGUGUUUAGAGGUUAACUAGAACAGAUAUUUAAUGCUGAAGAAUUCUAGUGUAACUCAAAAGAUGGAAUUUAGGUAAAGUUAAUUGAUCUCUUUUCCAUCACAGGUUAUAUAUGAGGUUUAAAUCUGUCCGUAAAGAAGAUGGAGAGGGGAAAACAGUGGUUUAUAAUCCAAUUCAUUUAAAGAAUGGUGCUUUAGCAAAUAACAUGGGCAGACGUGAGGAAUACCUCUCCUGUCUCAUUUUACCCCAAAGGAAUCCAGGUCACAUGCUCUGAGACAACUCUAUAAAAAGCACAGUACAUAGCUUACUUCUGAGCCAGACUAAAAUGCUAACACUUUGCCAGUUAGAUUGCUCAUAGCAGGAGUCAGUUCUUUGAAGAAAGUUUUGCAAGAGACCUUUGCAUAAACAAGCAGGGAUCAAGCCAUAUUUCUCUUUUUGCAGUCAGGUAUCCUAAUCACAAGAUAGAGUGUCACUGGUGCAUGGUUCUUUCUCUCUCACUUGAGUAAGAGACACUAAUUCUUUUCACAAUUUCAGCAAAAGGAGUAGAAGCAGUAGUUGCUUACAAACCUCUUUAAGCUGACAAUUAGAUUAUCCUUUUAGUAGGAAUGCCAAGUAGGUUAAAUAUCUUCAAGGCCUCUAAACUGCAGCUCUUUGAUCCUGAAAGCUAGUAACACAUUGGCACUAUGUCUGAUUCCCUGCAGUCUUAGGUCAAAAUGGCUAAAUGUUGCACCUCUCUGCUGUGUUUAAUCAUAUCUGUGUGGCUAAAAUAGAAAAUCCCCAGUCAUCAUGUUGGCUCUUAAGAAUUCUUAACUCCAUACACUAUGGAGAAAGUUCAGGCCCUUCCCAUAGAGAAUCAGCCACCAUAAUGCUCAGUUAUAGACCAAUACCUGCAAACAGUAUAAGAAGUUAUUCAUCAGCUGAUCUUAACUGUCCUCCUUAUUCCAAACAGUCAAGCAGUCAUCUGAAGCUCAGGUUUAUAAGCGCUAGUAAAAAUAGCAAAGCAUUUUCAAGCUGACUGAGUAUAAAAACACAAUUAAGGAAUUCUUCAGGCUUACCUCUGACACAUUUGAAGGAAUUGGAGUUUCAAGUUUUAACAGUAGUGUUUACUUUUUGUUUUAUAUCAUUCUACUUCAUAUUACAGAACCUGAAAACCAAACCCAAAACCAUUUUAAUAAUCUGUCUCCUAAAAUGUAGUGGAACAAAAGCCACAUUACAAAACUAACAAUUUUAUGUAUACACUGAAAAACUCUGACUGAAUUUAAGUAAAACCUUAAAUAAGGGUGUCCAGACUUGUUUAGGUGCUUUUGACAGAAAACCAAAGGAGGCUGAAGCUAGCUGGUGUGUUCAACCUAGCUUAUUUCUGAUUUCAUACUGCUGAGUAUUGAGCUGAUGACAGGUUUUUCUGUUCUCUUUACAAUCGUUACUGAAAUACAGGAUUUGAAAUACAACUCUUUUCAGAGACAAGAGUCUUCCCACCCUCUCAACACACACAUGCUUUUCCACUAAAUUUGCUUGUAGAAUUCACCUUUUAUUUCUUCCUGGCAAUCUUCAAUUCUUGACUUUCCUUGACCAACAAACUGGUUUAAAAUAGAAAAAGGAUAAAGAAAGACAGCAUUUUUUUCUAAACUGCAGAAAUUACUGAUCAGUAAUGCUGCUGUGUAUUAAGAAUUAUAAAUAGGUACAGGAGUGUUUGGCAAUGGGUACAUCAGUUGUCAUCAACAGUCAUGUCACUAAGAGAUCUAUCUAGCCAGCAACUGAACUUUAAAAAUGUGUCAAACUUAGAAAAUUGUAUGUUGUCCUUUCACUCCUCUCUUUUAUGGAGAAGCAGAGUCUUUGUUUCAAAAUAGAAAAAAACCCAAACAGAAUGCUUCAUAACUGAGAUUCUGUCAAAAGAGAAAUAUUUUAAACCAGCACAUUUUCAGGAAAUCAUAGAAGUAGAGCAGAAAAGCAUGAGAAUGCUUUGCAUGGGGAUUGGAGCAACUUGGUCUAGUGGAACAUGUCCCUGCCUGUGGCAGGGGGUUGGAACUAGAUGAGCUUUAAGGUCCCUUCCAACCCAAACCAUUCUAUGAAUGCUGCCGUAGACACCCUAAGUAUUUUCUUCCUUGGGGAUCAUACAUUGCAUCCCUCUGUUCAGCACUUUGGUAUUCAAGCUGGUGUGACUCUAAAAAUAUGAAAUCUCAGGGAUUUAACUGAUUUACCACUGAAGUUGAUAUAUGAACAACACAAUCAGAAAUUAGUAAUUCCACAGGGAAUUAUUCCGAAGGAAUUAAUUAAUAUCCGGAAAAAUAAGGUUAGCACAUCUUACCUGAAAGAGCUAGGAUGCACACUCAAGAACUGUGGGAAACAAGUGUGAGCUACUGUACUACCACUGCAUAAUGUAGUGGCGCUGAGAUAACUGCAGCGUGAGCUGUAUUGUCAGCAUCUAGGUAUGUACAAGUUAUUUCUUUAAAUACACACAAUUUCAGAAGUGAUUUUCAGAGUUCCAUGACAGUAGACUAACACACUUAGUUUCACAAAGUUCUGAUUCUGAAGUAUGAAAGAGAAUCCAGAUGAAUCCAGUUUACAGUGGCCAUUACAAAUAAAGGCAAUGAUAGAGCAGUAAGACCUUUCACAACAAUUUUUGUCCACAUGGGUAUUACAAGACAGGAUAUAGGAUACAGGAAGUAAUGGAGAAAUGUUUUUAGGAAACAACUGCAAUUGCAGCAGGAUUACACUGCCAUUAACAUAGAAGUUGCUGCAACAGGCAGAGUUCUGCUGUUUCUCACAACUGUGCACUAAUCAACUUUUCAUUAAUUUCAUGCUCUUUUAAUAUGUUUUAUAAAUCAGUUUUUGUGUUUCUAAUCACUUGUGCUUCCACAAAAUUUGAGUUUUGAGUUGGUAUGUUGUCAGACUCAAAAGCAACCUUAGAUGGUUGAGUUUUUAACUUGGAUGCUGUGGCACCCCACCCACUGGCUGUAUACAAAAGGAGGUUUUAAAUUGACAGGGGAAUUAACAGUCUUCCAAACUUCAGUCUGGAGAAUGUAUAAUUACACUAAGUCAUUGUCAGAAGCUAUUUUAAAAGUAAAUGUUGCCUGCCUUCUGAGGUUUUUCUACAUCUAUAUAGUUUGGGCAUGUCAGCCUUUCUUUAAAACUACAGCAGCAUUGUUCUUGAUAGAAUAAGCAGCAACUAGCACACUUAAAAGCACAGAAAAUAAGACGAGCAGCUGGGCUUUUCCAAGUCUCUAUGGCCACCUCGCCACUGACUUCGUAUAGAGCUUCGGUGAUCCUGGGUCUCAUUAUUUAAAUUUGUGAAAUGCAGCUUUCAGGUUUUAAACUUUAAGCAGCUGUCACAGUGAUUAUUUGUUUACAUAGAAAUGGCCUUUCUUCUGCAAACUGCUGAAUCUUAGGUAUUAAAUAGUUUUAUACCUUUUUCUUUGUUACCUUUUAGAGAUAGUAGGAAUGUACUGGCUUAGCUGAACCUAACCUAUACUAAAUAUUGUUUACAGUUUAUAUUUUCUCAAGGCUAGAGUUUCUUUAGCUACUUUAGUUUCUUUAGUUGAAACAUUUUAGAAUUGAGCUAUUGCUAUUUCUCCCUUUACUGAAAGCUGUCCCAAAUGAUUACCCCUACGAAUAUUUGAAUGACUAAACCACCUUUCUUGCUCAGAAAAGAAAGUCUGUCUUCAUUAAAUUUCAUUUUUACUAUAAAAAUGACCCACUUCAAAUGUGCAUAGGCCCAUCUUACUGUAUGUCAAUUGGUUUUAAAUAAACUCUCCCCUAACAAGGCUGUCCCAUCUCUACUGCUGGUGCCUACUCUCGAUUCAACUCUUUUCCAGCCACAGCCCCUUACUAGACGUUCUUCUGUUAACAGAACAGGAAGUUCCUUAUCUUCUAAAAUUGUCUGACUCCAAGUUUAAUUACAUGCUAUAAGUAGAUAGAAAAUAUUCCUUGCUCAAAGAGAAAUUACUUGGGCUGGUACAAGAAAUUUCAGGGCCUGUGGCUUACAAGUCAGGUGGAAUGAUCUGACCUUCAACUCUGAAAAAAUGAUAAGUGACUUAAGAAGCUGAAGAAGAAAAGAUGAUGGGCAGAGCCCAAGCCAAAGUGAUGAAAAGCAAAAUUCAAAGACCAAAAACCUUGGAAAGAAGCAGCCUACCGUAAGCAAUUACACUUGUUUUGAUGGUGACCCUUCUGUAAGGGAUUGUGCUGCUCAAGGUUCUCACACAGGUUCCUGAGUCCAGUAUUUCAAGUAAAAUGAGAACUACUGCAGCUCCUCCUCUUCCUUCAACUUACAGUCAUAAUGAUCAUAAAAGGACCCACCUAAUUCCAGUCCUUCCAGUUGUGGGGUAAUCACCUCAAUAUGCAGAUUACAGAAAACUAAGGGGGAUGCAAUAUAUAUGAAAUAGCACAAAAUGCUUCUUUUUUAUAUGAAAAAAAAAGUGUUUGUUUAGUGCUUAUAUUAUUUAGUGCUUGCUUUCUGCCCGGAGGAAGAUGCAUUCGCUUCCCUACUAUCAGGAUGAAAUUGUUGCAGAGAAUUAACUGCUUUGCUUUACAUUUUAAUUCUACUUCAUUAUAUGCAUAUGCAAAACACAUUUGCACACAUCUGCAGGCAAACUUAAACAAAAAGUAAUGUUGCUUAAACAAAAAGUAACAAAUGAAAAAUACCACUUUUCUGGAGGUGAAAAAAAUGAACCUCCAGCAGCAUCUCAACACAGUUAUCCUUGAACAUCCAUGGAUUUGACAGUGACGUACAGUCAUAACUUUUGUUUUUUAAAAUAAAUAUUAUACAGGUAUUUUGUUUGGUGGCUCUCAGAACAAAACAAUCUAAAGUAAAAUUCAGUAUAGUAUUUUACAGAAUUAAUUAGAAUUGCUUAUGUAAUUAAGUUUGGGUAUGCCUCCUCUUGACGCUCCAUUCUAAAUAAGACCUGCACACAAGCAAAGAUUAUCUAUUCUUGGCAAAUCCUUCCUAGGGAUUAUAUUGUGUAUAAACUAAUAAGGGUUUAUCUUUUCUUCUUUCUGGCAGAGGAAAUAACUAGAGCAACAUUUAAACAUUAACAUGGCAUUGAAGAAUUCCAAACAGAAUUAGGAAAUGAAAAGGUUGGGAUUCUCAGAGCAAUAUAAAGUCACCAUUAAGCAUGCAGAUCUUACUUGCGGACCACAUGUAAAAUUCACAAUACUCUGUGUAUGCGGUACCAUUUUGCUCUGUGAAGCAAAAAUGUCAAGUAUGCACAAGCUGUUUAUUUUAAAAGAUCAUCUAAUAUUAUCAGCAUCAAAUUUUAUAUGCAGUCCCAUAUUAUUCCUGUUUUUUGAGAUGCCAUUGACACAAACCAAAGCUAGACAAAAUUUUUACCAUUCUACAUCAUUUAAAAGAAAAUGCCUAUGGUGAAGUAACUGAGAAACAAUUAAAAUGUGCUAAGCUUUAUACCAUAAAAGAGGAAAAUAUAUUUAGUACUUGCCAUCUGAAAGAGUUUCAUGAGCACAGAAAAAUGGCUGUUUGGGAACAUGACUGUUGAUUUCUGCAAAAUGUGAAAAGCAAGUCAGUGAAAGCUAUAAUGUAAAUUUGAAAUUAGGAACUUACCAAAGAAGGCCUUGGAGGAAUGGACUGCUUUGUUCCUAGUCACCUUUCAGCUGCUGGUUCUUGAGAUCACCUGUGAUUUGAUGCUACAUGUAUUUUAGCUGAGGAAGCAGACAUCAUGAACAGAGAGGUUGUGAAAAGUAGACCAGACAAAUGGGGUGUUAUAGAACAAGACAAUAAGAGGUGAACAAAUAAACAGGUAAGAAAAAUCUGCAUUCUGUUUUUAAGCAAUUUAAAACAGUUAGAGACAACAAAGAGCCAGUAGACAUACUAAAAGGAAAAGUUACACAAAAUCAUAACACGCAUUUCUGUCCCUUCCCUCUUAGCAGAAUGUGGUCUGCACAGUCUCUAUAAAUCCACCGUCUGUCUUCACCUUGAAUACUGUACAAUUCUGCAGUUUCCCCCCAUCUCAGUAAAAAUAGAAAUGGAAGAAGAUUCAGAAAUGGUCAACAUGGACAAAGGCACAGAAAUGGGGUUUCAGAACAGUGAGUCAGAUUGACAGUAAAGUAUUUCUUUAUGAAAAGGGCACUGGUGCUGUUUAUGACAAAGCUGUCUAUUUAAUAAAGUAGGCAAAGUCUCAGCUCUCUUUGAAUUCAGUAUGGAUGAUUUCCCCAAUGCAUUUACAUAGCUUAGUUGGUGAUAUGUGGGAAAAAUAAUUAAUCAAUUAAUUUGUUAUUGCAGUAGAACAGGCUACUGCCUUACCUGCCUGCAGGGCAUAGUUUCAUGAACACCUUUAGGCAAAACAAGCAGCAGUUUUGGAGUCUCUUUCCCUUCAAGUCUACAGUCCAACUUUCUGCUCAAGGCAGGUUCCAUUAAAGCAAAUGCCUCUUGUGCACCUCUGGGAAGAAUCUGACUCCAUAUUUUCUACACUGUUCCGUGGGGAAGUAGUAGUCAGCAUAUCACCUCCCCUCACCAUCUUUAAACCUGACCAAAUCCAGUGCUCUCAGCUUUUUGUAUGUCAUCAACUGCAGCCCCCUGAACAGUUUGGUGGCCCUUACGAGUCUUGCUUAGCAUGUGAAUGUCUUUCUUAAAAUGAGACUUGGAACUCCAAAUGUUGUCUCACAAGUGUCAAGUGGAAGGGAAGAAUCUCUUGCCUCCAAACCUAUCAGUUGUGCUCAGCCCAAUAAGCAGCUGGACAUGUUUGCUGCAAGAGCACACUGUUGACUCACAUUCAGCUUGUGCACCAUGACCCCCAGCUUCUUUUUUAUAAAGCUGCUCUCUAUGCAGUCAGUUCCCAACCUGUCACAACACAUGGGGUUAUGCCAACCCAGAUGCAGGGCUUUGCAUUUGCCUUUGCUGAACUUCAUGAGGUUCCCCAGCAGCUCCUUUUUCCAGUCUGACUGGGUCCAUCAGAGUAGCAGCCCUGCCCUCCAGUGUAUCAACCACUCCCCCAAUUUGGUAUCACCCACAAAUUUGCUGAGAGGUCACUCUAUCUCAUCAUGCUGGUCAUUACAUCAACCAUUUCAAGAAUCCAAGUUGGUGUAACCUAUGUAAAAGCAAGCAAGUCAAACAUCCUUCCAGAGAUAUGCUAGAGAUUUCAAAUUUUGUUGUACAGAAAUGCAGGAGUUGCAUUGCUGAGUAUCUAUCUUUUCCUUUAGAUAUAAAAUGUAGCCCUAGGUUCCAGAAGAAGCAGGCCCUGGUCUUUUUUUUGGAUGCAAAUACUGAAAUGUAGAACUUGAUUUACUGUAAGAAAUCUUCUGGAAGGCAGAGAUGCUUGUUGAGACCGAAGAACCAAGCAAGUCAGAAAUUAUUUAUAGGGCCCUUCCCCAGAAUCUUCCUGUCUGUGGCUUUGCUCAAAGACAGAUGAUAUAUUUCUGUAUCUUAAAAUGACCAGAGUUGCAUCAGUCUACGUGGUACUCCGGGAACAUACUUGCAAUCUUGUUAUUUGCCUGGGUGGUUUUAUGCACAGGAUGGACUUUGUGCUUGUAGCUGUUACACUUAAGGAGCAGAGGGUAGAAUCUGCAAGAGAACAAAACCAGAAAAAAGAGAGAUGAAAGAAGAAACCUGUAGGAGUAAUUUAGCUCCUCUGCAUACAUUAUAAAUAUAAACCACUUUCAAGAACAUUUAUGUAAUGACAGCUUUUCCAGCACACAACUGUCUGUUAUGGGCAGCUAUGCACUAGCACAGUAUUUCUGCAGAAUGGACAGAAUAACAUCACUGCCAAAGGGCAUAUAAAGGACAAUGCUACAAACACGCUCCCCAAAAUUCUCUCAGAACAUAUUAUGCCACUCAUAGGCUUACUAUUACCAAAGACAUGACAAGUUAUACUAUACGCUGGUAUGGUCCUAAAUCGAAGUUGGAUUUUGUUCUGUAUGCUAGAAAUAGAUAUAAUACCAAGUACAUUGGAAAUACUAUAAAACAGCUCAUCAGAAUGUUUUCUGAUCUUCCACAUGGAGCUUGUCUCUCCAGACUAUGUUUUUUAACUGUCAUGGGUUUUGGAACAACAUUCCCAACAACACGAGCUGAAGAAAACAUCCGUAAACAGGAAGCAUUGGUUGUGAAAAGGAACUAAGAGAAGAUGGAAGGACAUGAAAGAGAAGAAAGUCAGCCAAGCCUCUAAAAAUGGGAACAAAGGCACUGCAUGUUUCCAAACAAAUACUUCAGUAAGUAAGGCUAUUUUGUUUCUUCUACGAAGACAACGAUGAUAAAAGAAGUUGAUUGUGUACUACUUGGACAUCCAGUACCUGAAGGAACUUAAACUUGUAAGGGAUGUAUUCCAGGCCAACCCUGUGUCCCAGUCCAAUGUUUAAGAAAAUGUGGUGUAACUUUAGGACAUAGGAUCAUAGAGUGGUUUGGGUUGGAAAGGACCUCAAGAUCAUACAGUUCCAAGCUCCCUGCCAUGGGCAGGGGCACCUCAACCUAGACCAUGUCACCCAAGGCUCUGUCCAACAUUUGCCAAGUACAGCAAUCAAGUAAAUUCAGGCAGUUGACUUACUGCUGGAAAGCAGCUCUUCAGUUCUGGUUAUUCUGAUACCUUCACAGUGUAUCAGGUAUGUGUUUUCUUUCCUUAUUUUCCUCCAGGAGUCAGUGCUGCAGAAGAACCCAAUCUGGGACUUGUGCUGGGUUGCAGAACACCAAGCUCCAGUUGCCAAAAAGAAUUCUUCAGUGAAAAGGAAAAUGCAAUUUGUCAUAAAUGACUUACACCAGUCACCAAAUGCUUCAGAUAAAUGAAAAGGAACACUACAAGAAGCAAAUACAACAGGUCUGCACUGCCACAUAAGAUUUAUUUGAAAAUUUUAUGGGAAUUGGAAAUCUCAUUUAAAAAAUAAAUCAUUAUCAUUGUAAUCCAUAUUAA
This is an RNA transcript of Pezoporus occidentalis (night parrot), 12021 nucleotides long. It is a transcript of the gene named phospholipase A2 group X, with no coding region annotated. Lineage: Eukaryota; Metazoa; Chordata; Aves; Psittaciformes; Psittacidae. The transcript has 4 exons. The record is from RefSeq and is a predicted model, not a curated record.